AUGACAGAUGACAGUGAACAAGCUAAGGUACAGCCAUCUGAAUACCUUGACAGCAAGAUCCCUCUAUGUGUAAUCUCAGAAACUUCGACUGAAACAGAAAUUCAUGCUCCAAGAAAAUCACUACCAAUAUUAAAGACUGACACUGAACAGACUGAAGUCAAAACAACUGUACCGUUAACCACAGAGAUGCUACCUGAACCAACAGCAAGAGUAUAUGAAUCUGCGGUUUCUACAAGCAGCCAUGGUGCAAAUGAAACUAAAAGUGAGAAUUUUGUUUCUGUUGCUUUGGAAACAAAGUCUGAUAAUGAUGAGAUUGCAAAUGAAAAGAUGCCAGUUUCCUCAUCUGCAGCUGUCUACAGCUAUGAAACCACAGUGCAAGACACAGACUUGGAAUUACACAGCACUGAGAGUCUUAGCACAGAAGGACAAGAAAGCCAGUUGUCUAUUGUAGUUGUGAGUUCAGUUACUGGUAGAGUAGAAGUGGAGAACUCUGAAGCAGUGACUGCAGAGCCAGAGAAAGAGGAAGAGGACUCAUAUAUUUCACAUUCUCAAGGGGAACCUUGUGGAGAAGGUGAAGCACAAACCAAAAAGGUUGCUGCGUUCAUUUUAAAUUUGGAUACAGUGGGCACAGAUAGUGCAGAGACAUAUUCCCACACAUCCACAGAUGAUGCUACGGUGAAAGCAGCCUCUACUAGUUCUAUUUUAAAUGAGAAGACACUGGGCAAGCAAGAGCAUGAAACAAUGGCCCCUCUAGAAGCUGGAAUUUCUGAAGUAGCCAUAGAACCAAUUAGCAUACAGUCUUCUCUUUAUGAGCCAAGUAUGGUGAAUGUUUUAGAAAUUAGUUCAGCAAUAGAACCAGAGCAGUCACAGCUCAAUGAAACAGACACUAACGGACAAGUGCAGACAACAGGAGGUCCACCUGCUGAAGAACACAGUAGUGGAGAUGAUGCUGCCAGAGGUAUUGGAACCUUUACUUGGAACAAUGGAUCAAAUGCUGCAAUUGCUGAAAGAGAGAGGAACUGGACUACAAAUAAUGGUCUGCAUGUAAUCCAAUGCGGAUCUAUUAUUCUAGACUUCCCUGAGGGUGUGGAGAUGCAGAGACGUCAUGCUUGUGAAGCUACUCUUUCCAGGGAACCCUCUGAGGCACAGGUUCAGGGAUCAGAAAGAAUGGAGAUGGAAUAUGAGGCAAAAUCUGAUAAAACAGAAACAGGGGUUCUAGCCAGCACAAACAGACCUUUAGAAGCAUCAGCAUCUGAACCGGCUGAUACAAACCUAAACCUACUGACAAGGGAAGUUGGAGUCAUGCAUGUCGAUGUAGAAGAAGAGACAAAAACGACCCCAUCAGAUGAUAAAACACAAUUAAUUAAAACUAAUCCUAAACUUAAACCUCCAAUCAAGCAACAAAAUGAGGUAGAAACUGAGGUCCAAACAAACAAAAUGCAUGUCUCAACAAGAGUAGAGGAAAAGCCUGAAGGUGAAGAAGCCAUUGGUGUCGUUUUGGGAAAAGAGACAAAGACCCAAUCAAGUGGUAAAGCACAAUCCAAAGAAAUUGAACCAAAACUAACACCUCCAGUCAAGUUCCCAAUUGACUGGGACACUGAGGCACAACCCAAAAUAAUUAAUGUCUCACUAACACAGGAAGAGAAACCUGAAGUUGUUAUUGCAGAUGUUAUUGUAGAAGAAGAGAUAAACAAGACCCCAUCAGGUGAAAAAGCACAAUUAAUGGAAUCUGAACCUAAAAUGAUGCCGCCAGUCAGGCAAAGAAAUGAUAGUAAAACUGACGCCCAGUCAAACAAUGUAGACGUCUUAACACAAAAGGAGAAAGCUGAAGGUGAAGAGGCCAUUGAUAUCAUUGUAGAAGAGGAGACAAAGACAACAUCAUCAGAUGAUAAAGGACAAUCUGUAGAGGCUGAACCUGAACUGACACUUUCAAUCAUGCAGAGGAGUGACCACAAAACUGAUGUCCAGUCAGAAAAGGUGGAUGUAUCAUCAGAGGAGAAAACUGAAUGUGAAGAAGCCUUGUAUGUCAUUAAGGAAUGGAAUGACUGGGACACUGAGGGUCAAUCUGAAAGUAUUAAUGUCUCACUGACACCAGAGGAAAAACAUGAAGUUGGAGACACUGCAGAUGUCAUUGUAGAAGAAGAGACAAACAAGGCCCCAUCAGAUGAAAAAGCACAUUCCAUAGAAGCUGAACCUAAACCAACACCACCAGCCAGGCAAAGAAAUGAAAAGAAGAUUGCUGUCCAAUCAAACAAGGUGAAUAUUUCAACAACAUCAGAGAAGAAACCUGAAGGUGCAGAGGCUACCAGUGUCAUUGUAGAAGACGAGAUAAAGACUCUAUUAGAUGAUAAAGCACAAUGCCUAGAAGGGGAACCUAUACUGACACCACCAGCCAGGGAACAAAAUAAGGGGGAAACUGAUGUCCAAUCAAACAAGGUAAAAAUGUCAACAACAUCAGAGAAGGAACCUGUGGACACCAUGCAUAUCCCUGAAGAGGAAGUGACAAAAAAGACAUUGGUUAAUAAAAGGCAAUUCAUAGAAGCUGAGCCUAAACCAACCCUACCAGUCAGAAGACAAAAUGAUGGUGAAACUGAGGUCCAGUUAGACAAGGUGGAUGUCACACCAACACCUCCCACCAGACGACAUAAAUGUGAUAGGUUAUUUUUAAAUAUUGAAUCACAGAUAGAGGGAGAAGUUCUUCCCACCCCACCAAGCAGAAGACGUAGAGAGAAAAUGGGACGUGAGAGGUUUUCACUUGAUUUAGAGUCCCAACCCACACCACCAGCUAGACGACGUAAAGAAAAAGAAGAUAGUAGAUUAUCGCUUGAUCUGGAGCCCCAGCCCACACCACCGGCAAGACGACGGAACGAAAAAGAAGAUAGAAGAUUAUCGCUCGAUCUGCAGACCCAACCCACACCACCAGCCAGAGGACAUAAAGAAAAAGAAGAUAGAAGAGUAUCGCUGGAUCUGGAGACCCAACCCACACCACCAGCUAGACGACGAAAAGAAAAAGAAGAUAGGAGAGUAUCGCUCGAUCUGGAGACCCAACACACACCACCAGCAAGACGACGUAAAGAAAAAGAAGAAAGUAGAUUAUCGCACGAUCGAGAGACCCAACCCACACCACCAGCUAGACGACGUAAAGAAAAAGAAGAAAGUAGAUUAUCGCACGAUCGAGAGACCCAACCCACACCACCGCCAAGACGACGUAAAGAAAAAGAAGAAAGAAGAUUAUCGCUCGAUCUUGAGACGCAGCCCACACCACCGGCAAGACGACGUUCAGAUAACGACGAUAGAAGAAUACCGCUCGAUCUGGAGACCCAACACACACCACCGGCAAGACGACGUUCAGAUAACGACGAUAGAAGAAUACCGCUCGAUCUGGAGACCCAACACACACCACCGCCAAGACGACGUAAAGAAAAAGAAGAAAGUAGAUUAUCGCACGAUCGAGAGACCCAACCCACACCACCGGAAAGACGACGUAAAGCAAAAGAAGAUAGAAGAUUAUCGCUCGAUCUAGAGACUCAACCCACACCACCGGCAAGACGACUUGAAGAAAAAGAAGAUAGUAGAUUAUCGCUCGAUCUAGAGACCCAACCCACACCACCGGCAAGACGACGUAAAGAAAAAGGUGAAGAUCAAGGAUUAUCAGUUGAUCUGGCGCCUCAACCAACUCCACCAUCAAGAAGAUGCAAGGAUAAGCCAGAGAAUGACACAUUAUUUUACAGUGCUGAAAUAGGAAAAAGUGAUAAUGAGCAAACUGUUGAACAUAAAGACAAGGAGGAGCACACUGUUAAACCAACUUCACCUGUCAGACGCAAAAUUAGUCAGGUUGAAAGUGAUGUGGCAGUUUGCAAAAACCAAGAAGAGAAAGGGACCUUUGUGAAACCCACACUGCCAACAAGAAGGAAAGAUAGCAAAGUUGAAAAAGAAAUCGUCACAGCUGCUUCUAAUAUAAAAGAAGAUAUGAGCCUAUAUAACCCAACUCCACCUCUGAGGCAAAAAGACAGCCAAGUGGAAACUGAGAUGGUUUCAACCACUCCUGAAUGUCUACCUGCCCUACCAACUCCACCAACCAGUCAAAAGAAAGAUCAAAUAGAAGCUGAAAGAGCUCCAUUAGCGCCAGAAGAGCCACAGGUCAUACCAACUCCAACAACCAGCGACAAAGAAACUUCAGACAAUGAAAAUAUUUCUAAGUUUGUAAGACUGGAAGUGAAAGCUGAUGUUGAAGCAAUAACUAAACAGGAAGAUAAAAAUGAGUAUGAUACAAAGUCAUUGGUUGGUCAGGAGCAGCAAGAGGAGGGGCAGGACCCAGAAUCAAUAAGUGUAAUAAAUCAAACAGAGAACAUCAGUGAAAUGCAGGUAACUUUAAUGUGCAUGAUUUCACCAAAAGGAACAAAUCUGCAUGUUAUCUGCAUGCUGGACUGUAAUGGAAGUCAUCAACUGAGGAUGUCUCGAUAUUUGAUUUGUAGGGUGAAAUUAAUUCCCUUUUUUUCCAACAGUCCAAUUGUCUAA
Long non-coding RNA from Cyprinus carpio (common carp), 4518 nucleotides. The record is from Ensembl. Lineage: Eukaryota; Metazoa; Chordata; Actinopteri; Cypriniformes; Cyprinidae.